This 957-nucleotide long non-coding RNA is filed under the name Pongo abelii (Sumatran orangutan). RNAcentral describes it as "lincRNA". Lineage: Eukaryota; Metazoa; Chordata; Mammalia; Primates; Hominidae. The record is from RNAcentral.
ACAAUGCACAGCUGAAUUGGGAUGAGGGGCCAGGACAAAGCAGAAAUCUGCUGCAGAGAGCAGGAAAGAUAAAAGAUAUUCUGUAGCAGGAUCUGGGCAAGUGGCACUCAUCCAUAUACUUCACAUUGCAAAGAGAGGAGCUACCUCCUUCCUUUUUAUUUUCCAGUUUAUUGGUGGCUCCUAGAACCUCUGAGAACUAACUGAUUUUGACCUCUUAACAGUUGCCUUUCAACUACCAUUCAUUCACUGCAAGCCUACUGUGUAACAGGCCCUUGCUAACCACUUCAGAUAUAUUGUCUCUUGUCCAGCUUCAAGUGACUCUCUUAGGGAGGGAUUAGCCCCACCUCACUAGUAUGGAAAUGGAGACUUGGAGUAAUCAAGUGACUUGCUCUGAAUUACACAGCUGGGAAGUGGUGAAGCUGGAAUUCAACUCAAGUUGUGUCUAGAUCUAAAACUCGUGCUCUUUUCUAUGCUCAAAGCUGCAUAUCAAAACUGAACUUUAGCAUGGAGUCUAUGAUGACUGGCUCAUGUCUCUCCACCCAGCACCUAGCCCAAGGCCAAGCACAGAGAGGGCUCACAGUGGACACUUUUGGAAUGAGUAGAUUCUUUACGGAAUGGUCGAGCACACUGAACUACCUGGAGUAAAGGGGCAUCAUGUCUGAAACUGAUGCUUAAGUGGCUCAGAAAAAAAAUUCUGGGAGCUAGAGGGAGAGAGAGACAGUGGAGUGUGGUAAAAAGUUAUCAUUUUGGGGAUCUGGGAAAGAGGUAUAUGAGGAUUCUUUGUACUGAUUUUGCAAUUUUUCUCCAAAUGUGAAAUUAUGUCAAAAUAUAAAAUUAAAAGGCAAAAUUAAAAGAAUGAAUGAGAGUUUGCUAGGUAGAGAAGCAGGGGGAUCUUCUGGCAAAGGAACAGGAUAAGCAAAAGCAUCACACAAGUGUGCAAGUCUUCUGCGUUGACAA